This 112-nucleotide small nuclear RNA is filed under the name Stegodyphus mimosarum. The record is from RNAcentral. Lineage: Eukaryota; Metazoa; Arthropoda; Arachnida; Araneae; Eresidae.
GUACUUGCUUCGGCAGUACAUAAACAAAAAUUGGAACGGUAUGGAGAAGAUUUACAUGGCGCCUGCGCAUAACUCGAUGACUUGCGUCUACUCUGCAAUUUGCAUAAUUUUC